Long non-coding RNA from Arvicola amphibius (Eurasian water vole), 519 nucleotides. RefSeq lists it as uncharacterized. The transcript has 4 exons. NCBI's taxonomy places the organism in Eukaryota, Metazoa, Chordata, Mammalia, Rodentia, Cricetidae. The record is from RefSeq and is a predicted model, not a curated record.
GGAAGCAUGCCUCCCAUGAGAACCAGGCUCCACAGUCAGGGGAUCCUAGAGGCACCCACAGAACCAGCCCUGAAGAGGUCAAGCCCCAGCUCCGUGGCUUCUGAGCCACGGGUUGGGGAUCGGUCUGGAUGAGAUUCUGACAGCCCCUCUGGGGACCCAGGCCAGAUGCCCAGGACACCGGCUGGCCACAGGCCCCUCCUGCAGAGGAAGAGCUGUCCACCCCAGAGAACAUCUAUCUCUCCAGGCCACCAUUCCCAGAAUGACAACUGGCUCCUGCACUUACCACCAUGUGCCACACCCUGAGGGACUGACCGUGUCAACCUGUAGACAGCAUGAGACCCAGAGAAGACUGUGCGACUGGUGUGGUGGUCCAUCUCUCCAGCUGUCUUCCUAAUUAGAACCAUCCUGGGUAUCUUCUAUAUUCAAGAAUAUGUCCCAAGCAUUCAGCGCAGGUCGUUGGGAUGGUUGGUACCCCGGACUCUGGUGCCAGUCGGUUCUCCUGUCCCCCCAAUUUUAUAG